GGAGAAGUGGCCGAGCUGGCUGAAGGCGCACGCCUGCUAAGCGUGUAACGGGCGUAAAACUCGUUCGAGAGUUCAAAUCUCUCCUUCUCCGCCA
Molecule: transfer RNA, 94 nt
Filed under: Desulfovibrio sp.
Lineage: Bacteria; Pseudomonadati; Thermodesulfobacteriota; Desulfovibrionia; Desulfovibrionales; Desulfovibrionaceae
Description: tRNA-Ser
Rfam family: tRNA
About the family: Transfer RNA (tRNA) molecules are approximately 80 nucleotides in length. Their secondary structure includes four short double-helical elements and three loops (D, anti-codon, and T loops).
Source: RNAcentral